UGGUUGGUCUGGUUUAUGGUUGUUUAUCACUAUCCAAAAACGCACUUCACUUCACAUGCAAACAAUGCCUUUGGGUCCCUGACUGACUUUCUGGCUACUUCCCCACGCACACUCUGUCUCCUCGUGACUUUUAUCUUAUUUCAAGCUUUCAAGUUAAAACUCACAACAGUGUAUGUUAAAAACCUCCAAGAUUUAGUUGGUUUGGAUCAACGCCGGUGCCAAAAUAUAUGCAACUCGAAACUGCUGCAAAAUGCAAACUUGUCUAUAUUAGCUUCCAAUCUUAUAUUUACAUAAGGUACGGUAUGAGGAAAACUGCGAAUACUUGAAACUUAUAGUUUUGACCAGAUCACCAAGAAAAAUCAAACAUUCACUUUUUAAUUUAAAUGACUCACGUGAAAUGAUCAAGUAGUACUGCCUGCCAGUCCAGAUAGGAGUGACCAGACCGGAUCCACCAACCACACCUCGACGUUGAGGGACAUUUUCG
Molecule: long non-coding RNA, 484 nt
Filed under: Brassica napus (rape)
Lineage: Eukaryota; Viridiplantae; Streptophyta; Magnoliopsida; Brassicales; Brassicaceae
Description: long non-coding RNA (BNAP_LNC021622)
Source: RNAcentral